Molecule: ribosomal RNA, 460 nt
Filed under: uncultured bacterium
Lineage: Bacteria
Description: partial 16S ribosomal RNA
Rfam family: Bacterial small subunit ribosomal RNA
Source: RNAcentral
CCUACGGGAGGCAGCAGUGAGGAAUAUUGGUCAAUGGACGAGAGUCUGAACCAGCCAAGUAGCGUGAAGGAUGACUGCCCUCUGGGUUGUAAACUUCUUUUAUAUGGGAAUAAAAUGUUCCACGUGUGGGAUUUUGUAUGUACCAUAUGAAUAAGGAUCGGCUAACUCCGGGCCAGCAGCCGCGGUAAUACGGAGGAUCCGAGCGUUAUCCGGAUUUAAUGGGUUUAAAGGGAGCGUAGGUGGAUUGUUAAGUCAGUUGUGAAAGUUUGCGGCUCAACCGGAAAAUUGCAGUUGAAACUGGCAGUCUUGAGUACAGUAGAGGUGGGCAGAAUUCGUGGUGUAGCGGUGAAAUGCGUAGAUAUCACGAAGAACUCCGAUUGCGAAGGCAGCUCACUGGACUGAAACUGACACUGAGGCUCGAAAGUGUGGGUAUCAAACAGGAUUAGAUACCCCUGUAGUC